Molecule: ribosomal RNA, 773 nt
Filed under: uncultured bacterium
Lineage: Bacteria
Description: bacterial SSU rRNA
Rfam family: Bacterial small subunit ribosomal RNA
Source: RNAcentral
UGGGGAGCAAACAGGAUUAGAUACCCUGGUAGUCCACGCCCUAAACGAUGCGAACUGGAUGUUGGGUGCAAUUUGGCACGCAGUAUCGAAGCUAACGCGUUAAGUUCGCCGCCUGGGGAGUACGGUCGCAAGACUGAAACUCAAAGGAAUUGACGGGGGCCCGCACAAGCGGUGGAGUAUGUGGUUUAAUUCGAUGCAACGCGAAGAACCUUACCUGGCCUUGACAUGUCGAGAACUUUCCAGAGAUGGAUUGGUGCCUUCGGGAACUCGAACACAGGUGCUGCAUGGCUGUCGUCAGCUCGUGUCGUGGGAUGUUGGGUUAAGUCCCGCAACGAGCGCAACCCUUGUCCUUAGUUGCCAGCACGUAAUGGUGGGAACUCUAAGGAGACCGCCGGUGACAAACCGGAGGAAGGUGGGGAUGACGUCAAGUCAUUAUGGCCCUUACGGCCAGGGCUACACACGUACUACAAUGGUAGGGACAGAGGGCUGCAAGCCGGCGACGGUAAGCCAAUCCCAGAAACCCUAUCUCAGUCCGGAUUGGAGUCUGCAACUCGACUCCAUGAAGUCGGAAUCGCUAGUAAUCGCAGAUCAGCAUUGCUGCGGUGAAUACGUUCCCGGGCCUUGUACACACCGCCCGUCACACCAUGGGAGUUUGUUGCACCAGAAGCAGGUAGCUUAACCUUCGGGAGGGCGCUUGCCACGGUGUGGCCGAUGACUGGGGUGAAGUCGUAACAAGGUAGCCGUAUCGGAAGGUGCGGCUGGAUCACCUCCUU